CUGGGGUUAAAUAUAUGUUGUGUUAAAGAGAAGUCGGGUAUAAUUUAGUUGGUGGAAUAAUUUCAGACAGUUUGUAUAAUUUUUAGUGUGGGCAACAAUGUGUUCUGGGACUUGUGUGAGCUGUAAAUCUAGCGAUAUUACUGUUCUUUAGAUGUUUAGGGUGGUUUGGGUGUUAGUCAAACUGGGUGAACCAUAUACUAGAAAAGUGAGUAGUUAUAUUAUCAGAAUAAUUUAGCUGUUUCAAGGGAUGAAAUGUAGGAAAACUGUGCCUGAAUUUCCUUCCAAACAUUAUACCAUUGUCUUCAAGUGCAAACGAGUUAAAAAAAAUAAAACCUAACAAGUAUUAACCCUAAUAAGAACUACAAAAAAUGAAGGUAAUAUACGACUUAGAAACCAUUCUACAUCGUGAAAAGGAAAACCGGAAGUCCCAGCGUAAAACGUUCUCUUCCGGGUCAUUUUACGUUUUUCUGUAUUAGACGUUGAAUAAUUUGCUCGUACGGGGAACUUUGGAAGUCUAUCAAUGUGUACAUUUUUGGCAUAAGUAUUCACUUUUGCAACUGUACGUGUAAGUUGUUGGAGAGCAGCUUAUCACUACUUGUUGUAGUUAUUUUUUUUGUUGUGAGUAAAUGACGACCUGAUCACUUUUCUCGAAUUUGUGAUGGUGUUUUAUGUCAGACAGAGCACGGCCUGGCAGGGGACAGGAAGUUACUAGUUUAGAACAAAAGGUUUGUUUUGAAACCCACUUCGCUGAUGAGGUGUUGCACGGAUUGAUGAAAAGAAGACAUGAAUAAAUUCUAAUUUCACUGUUGUGCUUUUGAUCGGGCAAAUUAUUUGGGUGUGUAGCAAAUAUUGGCAAGCCACCCCAAAGGAAAUAUUUCGUGAGAGCCUGGCAAGAUGUUACACAGGGGCAGAAGAGCCAUUGGGCUCUGGCAUGGUGCCUUGACCAGUAAAGGGGGAGUUUAAAAAAAAAAAAAAAAAAAAAUAGUGGUGCAGAGGGUGUGAAGCCCUUACUUUCAACUUGUGGAUUAGAUUGGAUCCAUGCCCACGUGGUAUAGGGUAUUCUCCAGCUGGAGACAGCAUUGCUUUAAGAGGAGGCUGCUUUUGCAGAAAUCUUGGUUAACCGAGGAAAAGCACAUGCUGAUUCAGCUGAACAGUGAGCCAUUGAAGAGAAUUGCUAAGGGUGUGGAGGGAGUCGUGGCUCAAGUAUGUAAUGGAUUUACUAAUGUUGAGCUUUAAGCUAAAAGACUACUCUUGCAGUUGAGGAAUGGUGAAAUGUUUGUGACCGAGUUUGUGAACCCGCAAAAACCUUACUUGAUCUACAGACUGACUUAAGACGUCAGAGUGAGAAACUAAGGCAGGAAAGUGAAUAUCAACGAGGGUGAACAUGAAGGUGUUGCCCAACAGAUGGUGCUGACCAUUACUUAUGGGUUUCUUCAGUAGCUGUAAGGCAGGAAUUCCAAAUCAGUGGUCAGACUGGGAAGAGAGAAAUUGUUUGGACAAACUUUUAACCCUGGAGUAAACCUCUGACACAGUAGAAGUUGAGAGUGGAUUUGAUCCUUCCCCAGUUGAAAAUUUACCUUCAAGAACAGUUCAGCUGAUUUGUUCCAAGUUCAAGUUUUGUAGCGCUAAUAGUCUAAGCACUUAAAUUUAUAAAUGGUAAAGUACGAAAUGCAAGAAAAUGGUCCAACGGUUAAA
Molecule: long non-coding RNA, 1695 nt
Organism: Protopterus annectens (West African lungfish)
Lineage: Eukaryota; Metazoa; Chordata; Ceratodontiformes; Protopteridae
Exons: 2
Source: RefSeq, a predicted model, not a curated record